RNAcentral lists this long non-coding RNA (660 nucleotides) under Rattus norvegicus (Norway rat). RNAcentral's name for it is "long non-coding RNA NONRATT018571". Lineage: Eukaryota; Metazoa; Chordata; Mammalia; Rodentia; Muridae. The record is from RNAcentral.
ACAUCUCUCCAGCUCUGCGCAGUGUGACCUUUCCUUCUUUUUAAGAUUUGUUCAUUUUAUGUAUGAGUACACUGUCACUGUCUUCAGACGCAGCAGAAGAGGGCAUCACAUCCCAUUACAGAUGGUCAUGAGCCACCACUCAGGACCACUGGAAGAGCAGUCAAUGUUCUUAACCACUGAGCCAUCUUUCAGCCCUCCAAUGUGAUUCCCCACCACCACCAAUGUGAUCCCCCCCACACACACACACACCAAUGUGAUUCUUAACAUGAGGAAUUUUUUUUUCUUUGCAGUCUGCUGUCAUGGAUUGAAGAGAAAGGGCCUGGCUUAAAAAGAAACAGAUAUGUAAACUUCCAGUUCACUUCUGGGUCCCUGGAGGAAGUGCCAAGUGUAGGGGUCAAUAAGAACAUUUUCCUGAAAGAUCAGGAUAUAUUUGUUCAGAAGCUCUUAGGCCAGGUCUCUGCAGAGGACCUGGCUGCUGAGAAGAAGCGCAUCAUGCAUUGCCUGGGGCUGGCCAGCGACAUCCAGAAGCUUUGCCACCAGAAGAAGUGAAGAGGAAGCUUCAGAGACUUCUGAAGGGGGCCAGGGUUUGGUCCUAUCAACCGUUCACCUUUAGCUCUUACAAUUAAACAUGUCAGAUAAACACAAUGAGAAUAGUGUUAA